Molecule: ribosomal RNA, 253 nt
Filed under: uncultured bacterium
Lineage: Bacteria
Description: partial 16S ribosomal RNA
Rfam family: Bacterial small subunit ribosomal RNA
Source: RNAcentral
UACGGAGGGUGCAAGCGUUAUCCGGAUUUACUGGGUUUAAAGGGUGCGUAGGUGGGUUGGGAAGUCAGUGGUGAAAUACUUUCGCUUAACGAAGGAACUGCCAUUGAUACUAUCAAUCUUGAAUGUAGUGGAGGUAGGCGGAAUGCGUCAUGUAGCGGUGAAAUGCUUAGAUAUGACGCAGAACACCAAUUGCGAAGGCAGCUUGCUACACUACUAUUGACACUGAGGCACGAAAGCGUGGGGAGCAAACAGG